RNAcentral lists this ribosomal RNA (274 nucleotides) under uncultured bacterium. Its description in RNAcentral is "partial 16S ribosomal RNA". It matches the Rfam family "Bacterial small subunit ribosomal RNA", at positions 523 to 796 of the family's 1533-position model. The record is from RNAcentral.
CUACGGAGGGUGCAAGCGUUAUUCGGAAUCACUGGGCGUAAAGGGUGCGUAGGCGGUUUGGUAAGUCUGAUGUGAAAUCCUAUGGCUCAACCAUAGAACUGCAUUGGAAACUGCUAAACUAGAAUACUGAAGGGGCAGAUGGAAUUAGUGGUGUAGGGGUAAAAUCCGUAGAUAUCACUAGGAAUACCGAAAGCGAAAGCGAUCUGCUGGGAAGUUAUUGACGCUGAGGCACGAAAGCGUGGGGAGCAAACGGGAUUAGAAACCCCAGUAGUCC